This 440-nucleotide ribosomal RNA is filed under the name uncultured bacterium. RNAcentral's name for it is "partial 16S ribosomal RNA". It matches the Rfam family "Bacterial small subunit ribosomal RNA", at positions 338 to 795 of the family's 1533-position model. The record is from RNAcentral.
CCUACGGGUGGCAGCAGUGGGGAAUAUUGGACAAUGGGGGGAACCCUGAUCCAGCGACGCCGCGUGAGUGAAGAAGGAUUUCGGUAUGUCAAGCUCUAUCAGCAGGGAAGAAAAUGACGGUACCUGACUAAGAAGCCCCGGCUAACUAAGUGCCAGCAGCCGCGGGCAUACGUAGGGGGGAAGCGGUAUCCGGAUUUACUGGGUGUAAAGGGAGGGUGGACGGUGCAGCAAGGCUGAUGGGAAAGUUCGGGGGCCAAACCCGGGACUGCAUUGGAAACUGUUGAACUGGAGUAAAGGAGAGGUAAGCGGAAUUCCUAGUGUAGCGGUGAAAUGCGUAGAUAUUAGGAGGAACACCAGUGGCGAAGGCGGCUUACUGGACUGUAACUGACGUUGAGGCUCGAAAGCGUGGGGAGCAAACAGGAUUAGAUACCCUUGUAGUC